This 514-nucleotide ribosomal RNA is filed under the name uncultured bacterium. Its description in RNAcentral is "partial 16S ribosomal RNA". It matches the Rfam family "Bacterial small subunit ribosomal RNA", at positions 28 to 523 of the family's 1533-position model. The record is from RNAcentral.
GAUGAACGCUGGCGGCGUGCCUAAUACAUGCAAGUCGAGCGAACAGAUGAGAAGCUUGCUUCUCUGAUGUUAGCAGCGGACGGGUGAGUAACACGUGGGUAACCUACCUAUAAGACUGGGAUAACUCCGGGAAACCGGGGCUAAUACCGGAUAAUAUUUUGAACCGCAUGGUUCAAUAGUGAAAGACGGUUUCGGCUGUCACUUAUAGAUGGACCCGCGCCGUAUUAGCUAGUUGGUAAGGUAAUGGCUUACCAAGGCGACGAUACGUAGCCGACCUGAGAGGGUGAUCGGCCACACUGGAACUGAGACACGGUCCAGACUCCUACGGGAGGCAGCAGUAGGGAAUCUUCCGCAAUGGGCGAAAGCCUGACGGAGCAACGCCGCGUGAGUGAUGAAGGUCUUCGGAUCGUAAAACUCCGUUGUUAGGGAAGAACAAAUUUGUUAGUAACUGAACAAGUCUUGACGGUACCUAACCAGAAAGCCACGGCUAACUACGUGCCAGCCGCCGCCGUAA